Molecule: long non-coding RNA, 618 nt
Organism: Neopsephotus bourkii (Bourke's parrot)
Lineage: Eukaryota; Metazoa; Chordata; Aves; Psittaciformes; Psittacidae
Exons: 4
Source: RefSeq, a predicted model, not a curated record
ACUCUCAGGAUGCUGCGGUGACUCAAGGCUGUUGCCCUGAGCUCUGCUGUUUGGCAAAGACAGCAAAGAAACACAGCAGGGCUGCUUGUGGGAGUCCUUGGCGUGUUGGGUCUCGUCCUGCUCCCAGGGCAGGGGGCCGACCCUAACUGGCUCUCUCCCGCUUGAGCAGGGAACGGGAGGUGUGACAAUGGAGCUGCGCGCCAGUGACAGGGACCAGGGCUGUGCAGAUGGAGGAAGCUGUCAUGAGGGCUGAGGAGAAGCAGCGGCAGUCCCCGAGCCCACCACCAUCGCCAGGAAAUGGAAGGCCACGCAGGAGGAGCAUCUGCCUGCUGGUGCCUUGGGACAAUGAACCACUGGUGCUGCCCCCUGGGCCUGACCCUGGCUACCCCAUCACGGCAGAGAUCAUAGAGGAGGAGAGGAAGGCAGCGCAGCAGCGGUUGCGCUGACUCCUGGGGUAUAAGGAGGAUGAGGGCCCCAGCACCAGUGGGGAAGGUAUGUCCCUGGGCACAGCCAUCGCCCAGGGCUCCUCGGGCGCCAUCCGCACACGGGCAGCGUCAGCGACCGCAGCAUCGGUGGUUUCUGGGCUGGCCGAUUCCAGCAGCAGCGGCCUUACUGACA